GACGAACGCUGGCGGCGUGCUUAACACAUGCAAGUCGAACGGAAAGGCCCUGAUUUUGUGGGGUGCUCGAGUGGCGAACGGGUGAGUAACACGUGAGUAACCUGCCCUUGACUUUGGGAUAACUUCAGGAAACUGGGGCUAAUACCCGAUAGGAGCUCCUGCUGCAUGGUGGGGGUUGGAAAGUUUCGGCGGUAGGGGAUGGACUCGAGGGUUAUCAGCUUGUUGGUGGGGUAGUGGCUUACCAAGGCUUUGACGGGUAGCCGGCCUGAGAGGGUGAACGGCCACAUGGGGCCUGCGAGACGGAGCAGACUCCAACGGGAGGCAGCAGUGGGGAAUAUUGCACAAUGGGCGGAAGCCUGAUGCAGCAACGCCGCGUGCGGGAUGACGGCCUUCGGGUUGUAAACCGCUGUGGCAUGUGACGAAGCGUGAGUGACGGUAAUGGGUAAAGAAGCACCGGCUAACUACGUG
Molecule: ribosomal RNA, 468 nt
Filed under: uncultured bacterium
Lineage: Bacteria
Description: partial 16S ribosomal RNA
Rfam family: Bacterial small subunit ribosomal RNA
Source: RNAcentral